Molecule: long non-coding RNA, 152 nt
Filed under: Sus scrofa (pig)
Lineage: Eukaryota; Metazoa; Chordata; Mammalia; Artiodactyla; Suidae
Description: lncRNA (ENSSSCG00070027103.1)
Source: RNAcentral
CUUGCAACACCGUCUGUGGGCUCCUUCGAAUCCUCUGAGCGUUAGCUGCUCUCUUGGAGGACAAAGGGGCGUCUUCGUGGAGAGACUGGGAAGGAUUUCUCCGACGUGUGGGGUGACUGAAGUCAGUACGAAGCCGACCUGACGUUCCCCCU